CCCAUGCUGCAGAAUGGCAGUUUUCCUAGUUACCUUCAUGUUAAAAUAGACUUCACACUAUCCAGGUGAUGAAAAUAAUCUCCAGGGACUAAGUCAUUCUUUGAAGAUGAACUGAAUCUGUGUACCAUGGAACAUAAAAUUGUGGGGGAAUGUGUAACCUACUGGCCUUAGAUGUGAAACCAUAAAAUUAUGAGCUACUGAAACCAGGAAAACAUACCUAAAAAAAAGAAAGAAAACAUCCUUGGACUUGAAGAAAGAUGUAUAAACACAAAAGGAGAAAUGCGUGGUGACAAGGGCAAUAAUACAAUUUGCAAAACU
Molecule: long non-coding RNA, 318 nt
Organism: Leopardus geoffroyi (Geoffroy's cat)
Lineage: Eukaryota; Metazoa; Chordata; Mammalia; Carnivora; Felidae
Exons: 3
Source: RefSeq, a predicted model, not a curated record